Long non-coding RNA from Nicotiana attenuata, 879 nucleotides. RefSeq lists it as uncharacterized. The record is from RefSeq and is a predicted model, not a curated record. The transcript is spliced from 2 exons. NCBI's taxonomy places the organism in Eukaryota, Viridiplantae, Streptophyta, Magnoliopsida, Solanales, Solanaceae.
UCUUCUUCCUUCCCAUUUUAAUGAAACUUUUCCCUUUUCAUCAAUACCUAACGGAACUUGUCCCACCAAUUUUGGGUUAAAUAUUUUACCUCUCUCAUAAUCCAAUAUCUCAGCAUUAUCUCUCUCAUGUGCAACUGGAUUUGGUCAAUAGAAGAGUCCAAAAAAAUUUUGGAUUUUUGAUUCUCUAUGACAGAGAUUUUCAGUGUUCAAACGGAUCCUUUUGUGUCAAGACACCAGCUCCUGAAGUCCUCCUAACGUUCAAAUUUCAAAUGGUUGACUCGAUUUUGAAAUCCCGCUCAAACUUUCAUCCAAAAAUUCUAGACUUUUCCCCUAUAAAUACUACUGUUUUCUACAAGUAAAGGGGAUUCUUCAGCUGCCUCAUAUCCAUUUUUCUACUUUAGCCGCCUCUACUUCCACCUAAAACAUAUAACUCUUAGUCGUUCUUUCACUCUAAAGGGACGACUUUCGCAUCUGAGUUGUUCAAGUCCAAAUCUCAUUCGUGAAGAAGAGAUAGAUCCGAGGUCGAAGCUCCAGAUUCACUGCCCCACAAACGCCGAAGAGUCCUACUUUAAGACUCAACGACGCUGUAGCACCACAUGGAGUCAUCGUUAUUUGUGCUGGCCUAAUGUCGAAUCUCAUGGCGAAAACCAUAAAAUUCAUCCUUAUGGGAUGUCGGCGGGGACUACCCGUUAUGCUUCUUCAAUCUUUACUUUGCUAGUUUCUCCCUUGAUCUCUAUAUUGCCAAUCCAUUCUAUUUGUCUUUUUUUAAACUUGUGAUUAGUCUCACUUAGGACUUAUAUUCAAGCUAAUAAUGGAUUACUUGUUACGUGGAGAUAUGGAAACUGGGGUUGAGGACUUUAAAAUCAUUUGUCUGACCAA